Molecule: ribosomal RNA, 503 nt
Filed under: uncultured bacterium
Lineage: Bacteria
Description: partial 16S ribosomal RNA
Rfam family: Bacterial small subunit ribosomal RNA
Source: RNAcentral
AUUGAACGCUGGCGGCAUGCCUUACACAUGCAAGUCGAACGGCAGCACGGGAGCUUGCUCCUGGUGGCGAGUGGCGAACGGGUGAGUAAUACAUCGGAACGUACUCAGUAGUGGGGGAUAACGCACCGAAAGGUGCGCUAAUACCGCAUACGACCUACGGGUGAAAGCGGGGGACCGCAAGGCCUCGCGCUAUUGGAGCGGCCGAUGUCUGAUUAGCUAGUUGGCGGGGUAAAGGCCCACCAAGGCGACGAUCAGUAGCUGGUCUGAGAGGACGAUCAGCCACACUGGGACUGAGACACGGCCCAGACUCCUACGGGAGGCAGCAGUGGGGAAUUUUGGACAAUGGGGGCAACCCUGAUCCAGCAAUGCUGCGUGUGCGAAGAAUGCCUUCGGGUUGUAAAGCACUUUUGUCAGGGAAGAAAUCUUUCAGGCUAAUACCCUUGGAAGGAUGACGGUACCUGAAGAAUAAGCACCGGCUAACUACGUGCCAGCAGCCGCGGUAA